GGAAAGGUGGCAGAGCGGUUCAAUGCAUCGGUUUUGAAAACCGACGUAGCUACCAAGCUACCGAGGGUUCGAAUCCCUCCCUUUCCG
This 87-nucleotide transfer RNA is filed under the name Pleurastrum terricola. Its description in RNAcentral is "tRNA-Ser". It matches the Rfam family "tRNA". Rfam says of the family: Transfer RNA (tRNA) molecules are approximately 80 nucleotides in length. Their secondary structure includes four short double-helical elements and three loops (D, anti-codon, and T loops). Lineage: Eukaryota; Viridiplantae; Chlorophyta; Chlorophyceae; Chlamydomonadales; Pleurastraceae. The record is from RNAcentral.